RNAcentral lists this microRNA (19 nucleotides) under Oryza sativa (Asian cultivated rice). Its description in RNAcentral is "osa-miR2925". The record is from miRBase by way of RNAcentral. Lineage: Eukaryota; Viridiplantae; Streptophyta; Magnoliopsida; Poales; Poaceae.
UGGCGGCCGCGGGCUUCGU